This 253-nucleotide ribosomal RNA is filed under the name uncultured bacterium. RNAcentral describes it as "partial 16S ribosomal RNA". It matches the Rfam family "Bacterial small subunit ribosomal RNA", at positions 524 to 776 of the family's 1533-position model. The record is from RNAcentral.
AACGUAGGAGGCAAGCGUUGUUCGGAAUUACUGGGCGUAAAGGGCUCGUAGGCGGCCAACUAAGUCAGACGUGAAAUCCCUCGGCUUAACCGGGGAACUGCGUCUGAUACUGGAUGGCUUGAGGUUGGGAGAGGGAUGCGGAAUUCCAGGUGUAGCGGUGAAAUGCGUAGAUAUCUGGAGGAACACCGGUGGCGAAGGCGGCAUCCUGGACCAAUUCUGACGCUGAGGAGCGAAAGCCAGGGGAGCAAACGGG